Molecule: transfer RNA, 76 nt
Filed under: Candidatus Aerophobota bacterium
Lineage: Bacteria; Candidatus Aerophobota
Description: Candidatus Aerophobetes bacterium tRNA-Val
Rfam family: tRNA
About the family: Transfer RNA (tRNA) molecules are approximately 80 nucleotides in length.
Source: RNAcentral
GCCCGGUUAGCUCAGUGGUUAGAGCGCUUGCUUGACAUGCAAGAGGUCGCUGGUUCAAGUCCAGCACCGGGCACUA